GCGGUUGAUUAGAAUAUAACUUUAGUCAACAGCGCCAUUGUUUUGCUAACGCUAACGCUAACCUUACCAAAUGAGAGACGUAGCGGGCUCGCCAUCGUUUGCACGAUGAUGUGUUGUCGGGCGACUUAUGAUCUUAAUGUUUAGAGAGACAAAUGCCUCCUGGGAGCUAAACGAGCUGGAGCAGUUAUUUAAAACAAAAUGUUAGCUAACGUUAGCUAAGUUAACCGUUAGCAUAGCAUCGAUUGCUGCUGGAAACCGUCGUACAACAUUAACUGCCUUUGGAAGAUAAACUUAGUUAACAUUUGCGUUAGUUAACUUAAAUGGAGACGGGAUACUCUAACCUGAGGAGACCAAAGAGGAAACUCUGCUAUCUCACAAACAAGACCAGUCCACCCAAAAAAUGGUCGGAACCUCUGACAUUGGAUGACAUUGACAAGAUGUUUGAUGACUUGGAUCCAUCCUCACAUGUUAAAGAUGACCUGUUGCCCUCGUCUAGUCUGCUUCAGACCUUUGAUACUGAGCCAAACCAGUGUGGGAGACCGGUUUCACCGCUCCCACAGGAAGGACAUCUAACAGAAAGAUGCCAAAUGGUAAUCAAUAGUCAAUAGUGACUGUUCACUGCUGUUAUGUCACACAGGGCUGAUGAGCCAGUAGUAACC
Molecule: long non-coding RNA, 659 nt
Organism: Gasterosteus aculeatus aculeatus (three-spined stickleback)
Lineage: Eukaryota; Metazoa; Chordata; Actinopteri; Perciformes; Gasterosteidae
Source: Ensembl